UAAAACACAGUGUUGGAGUAAAG
Molecule: non-coding RNA, 23 nt
Filed under: Mus musculus (house mouse)
Lineage: Eukaryota; Metazoa; Chordata; Mammalia; Rodentia; Muridae
Source: RNAcentral